RNAcentral lists this ribosomal RNA (253 nucleotides) under uncultured bacterium. Its description in RNAcentral is "partial 16S ribosomal RNA". It matches the Rfam family "Bacterial small subunit ribosomal RNA", at positions 524 to 776 of the family's 1533-position model. The record is from RNAcentral.
GACAGAGGGUGCAAACGUUGUUCGGAAUUACUGGGCGUAAAGGGCGCGUAGGCGGCUUGGUCAGUCCCGUGUGAAAUCCCUCGGCUCAACUGAGGAACUGCACGGGAAACUGCCUGGCUUGAGUUCGGGAGAGGGAAGCGGAAUUCCGGGUGCAGCGGUGAAAUGCGUAGAUAUCCGGAGGAACACCGGUGGCGAAGGCGGCUUCCUGGACCGACACUGACGCUGAGGCGCGAAAGCUAGGGGAGCAAACGGG